RNAcentral lists this non-coding RNA (25 nucleotides) under Cricetulus griseus (Chinese hamster). Lineage: Eukaryota; Metazoa; Chordata; Mammalia; Rodentia; Cricetidae. The record is from RNAcentral.
CUCAGGAGAGCAUUCCCACCCCAUC